CAGAAAAUAUACACAUGAAACAUUUUAUUUAUUUGUAAACCACAAUGUCAUAGUUUACAUUGAAAUUAUCAGCUUUCUUUUUUUGCAAGGUACAAAUACUAUAGUAGCAGUAUAUAUAUACAUGUUUGAUGAUUGUUUCUUCUUCCAAAUCAGCAUCUCCAAUUCUUCACAACCUACUAUACAAUGGAAAAGAGUUAGUAAGAAGUUCUAGAAAUAAAAAAGAUACUCCAAAUUCAUGAAAGAGUUCAUGACAAAAACACUCUAGAAAAGAACGAUCAACAAGCAGAUCAGGUGUAGACCACUCGAUAGAUUGGAUAAAGUAAUAUCUUGUGCUUUCUGGAAUAAUGUUUUGGGUCAAAAUAAUUGAUGCACACAUAUCGCACAAGUCUAUACAUUGAAGUCAUCAUGAGAUUUUACUGAAAUAUUUGAAGCCAAUUGCAUGUACAAUAUCAAUAGGGGAAAUCCAUGACCUAUGUGCGGAAACAACAUUUGGUAGUUGCAGAAGUUAGAUCAUUCAGAGCUUUUAUUCUAGCAUGCUAACUGAUAGGUCUUGCACACGGAAUUUAGUCACAACAACAUUCAUUCCAUACAAAUGUCGUUAAGUAUUACUGUAUUAAGAACUAUAGAAAUGUAUUUUAAGACAUCAAGAUCAGAAACUAUACCUGGGAUGCAGAUUUGUUAGGUGACGCCUCCACGGCGAAAUCAUAGUCUCACACUCUCGCUACUUCCCAUAAGAUCCAUAAUUCAGCAAGGACUUUAGUCUAAUAGUUGCGGCCUCAAAGCCUAUGAACAUAUCUGCUAACAAUUAACUAAAUUCAUGUUAACAAAAGAAAGUUACCCCAAACAAAUGUGUAGCCGUCUUACAUCUCUCUCAACAGAACUGAAGUCACAUGUUUCGUCUCUAGCAAAAUAUCUUCCUUGUUGUAUUUGUUCCAUUCUGGACCUCGUCGCUUUCAAAGGUACGAACAAAACAACUGUAAAAAAAUAAUGGCGGCACAAAUGAUGAUUCACCAUCUACAUAUUAUAAAGAAAGAACA
RNAcentral lists this long non-coding RNA (1037 nucleotides) under Hordeum vulgare. RNAcentral's name for it is "long non-coding RNA (HVUL_LNC014721)". The record is from RNAcentral. Lineage: Eukaryota; Viridiplantae; Streptophyta; Magnoliopsida; Poales; Poaceae.